Molecule: long non-coding RNA, 934 nt
Organism: Paramacrobiotus metropolitanus
Lineage: Eukaryota; Metazoa; Tardigrada; Eutardigrada; Parachela; Macrobiotidae
Exons: 2
Source: RefSeq, a predicted model, not a curated record
GCGUACCGUACAUAAGUUUCGGUUUUUGCUGCUAGUUGGCUAGUAUAUUUUCGAUAUUAAUAAAUUAAUUUUAUUUCCGUUUAAAGUGCACUAUGGGGUUAUAAUUUUGAGAAAUCUUUAUGAAUACUCAUUUCAUUCGCCAGAAUGACUGAUAAUAAUUCAAACCUUUAUAUUUUCCGGAAUCUGGAAGACGUUCCAGUUUUGCCUGAACCGAAGAAUGAUUUCUUCUCUCAGGUGUUCAGACAAGGGCGUUCAGGCAGUUUUUGGCCCAUAGCGUCAGCUUUGGGGGCUGCGUGGGGGGUUUUUGCUUGGAAUGGCUGGCAGGGGUUACCUCCCUUUGCGAGAAUUUGGCGACUUAUUGGGUGUUGUACGGGUGCUUACUGGAUUGCAGGAAUGACGGAUCAUAUAUCCACUAAAGGAUAUUCUGAACGGGAUGCUAUGAUGCACCACUAUAUCAACCUGCACCCUGAGGAUUUCGUCGAGGAGGCUGCACCAAAAUUGAAGUACGUGUUGUAUCCUUGGGCACCAAAACGUGAGAGCUGGACUCCGUUUGACAAGGACUACCACAUCAAGUGAGGAUCCCUAAAGGUGUCUUGGAUUUCUGCUGGGCUGCUCACCCGAAAGAACUGACAUAAAGAACUGCUUAAAUUCAGUGCGAUGCCUAAUGCAUCGAUACGGGAGCCUUUGUCAUUGUAUAUACAAUACUGUCUGCAACCGGCCAUUUGAUGCAAAAGUUUGAAGAAAGGCGCAGGUUUUUCGCAACCGGCAGGUGUGUUUGACUGUUUGCAGUUUAGUUUGAGUUUGUUACUGUAUGUUCUAGUGUGGUGCUAAAAUUUCUUGUGGUUUCUCGUUUGCCGCAGUAUAUUUAACUAGGACUCGAGACUCCGAGAGCGUGAAACAAUUAAGUAAGGUAAAAUAAAAUUCCACUUUUGGA